RNAcentral lists this long non-coding RNA (282 nucleotides) under Homo sapiens (human). Its description in RNAcentral is "non-protein coding lnc-LNPEP-6:1". The record is from RNAcentral. Lineage: Eukaryota; Metazoa; Chordata; Mammalia; Primates; Hominidae.
AAACCUUUCACAGCUGGUCGGAAGCUCAGGAUCAGAGAAGUUUCCAGGCCACAGAGAUGCAAGCGUUUCUCUUCAGCGCAAAGCGAAUAGCAGCAGAAAAGAAAACAAUUAUUAGAAGACGGGACCUUUGCUCUAUCUGGGGGAAGUCUCACAGUGAACAUUCAGGAAUGUGCUGGAGUUGCUUUACAACAGCCACUAGCCUGAAAGAGCAAAUAAGGACAUAGAGAAGAAUCACAUGAAUUUUCUUGUGAGUGCUGAAGAUGGCAAGGCUGAGCCUUUCUC